This 253-nucleotide ribosomal RNA is filed under the name uncultured bacterium. RNAcentral's name for it is "partial 16S ribosomal RNA". It matches the Rfam family "Bacterial small subunit ribosomal RNA", at positions 524 to 776 of the family's 1533-position model. The record is from RNAcentral.
UACGUAGGGUGCGAGCGUUGUCCGGAAUUAUUGGGCGUAAAGAGCUCGUAGGCGGCUUGUCGCGUCGUCCGUGAAAACCUGCAGCUCAACUGCAGGCUUGCGGUCGAUACGGGCAGGCUAGAGUUCGGUAGGGGAGACUGGAAUUCCUGGUGUAGCGGUGAAAUGCGCAGAUAUCAGGAGGAACACCGGUGGCGAAGGCGGGUCUCUGGGCCGAAACUGACGCUGAGGAGCGAAAGCGUGGGGAGCGAACAGG